GACGAACGCUGGCGGCGUGCUUAACACAUGCAAGUCGAACGGUAAGGCCCUUCGGGGUACACGAGUGGCGAACGGGUGAGUAACACGUGGGUGAUCUGCCCUGCACUUCGGGAUAAGCCUGGGAAACUGGGUCUAAUACCGGAUAGGACUCCGGAUUGCAUGGUCUGGGGUGGAAAGCUUUUGCGGUGUGGGAUGGGCCCGCGGCCUAUCAGCUUGUUGGUGGGGUGAUGGCCUACCAAGGCGACGACGGGUAGCCGGCCUGAGAGGGUAACCGGCCACACUGGGACUGAGAUACGGCCCAGACUCCUACGGGAGGCAGCAGUGGGGAAUAUUGCACAAUGGGCGCAAGCCUGAUGCAGCGACGCCGCGUGAGGGAUGACGGCCUUCGGGUUGUAAACCUCUUUCAGCAUCGACGAAGCGAAAGUGACGGUAGGUGCAGAAGAAGGACCGGCCAACUACGUGCCAGCAGCCGCCGUAA
This 478-nucleotide ribosomal RNA is filed under the name uncultured bacterium. RNAcentral describes it as "partial 16S ribosomal RNA". It matches the Rfam family "Bacterial small subunit ribosomal RNA", at positions 28 to 523 of the family's 1533-position model. The record is from RNAcentral.